GGACCCGCACAAGCAGCGGAGCGUGUGGUUUAAUUCGAUGCUACACGAAGAACCUUACCAAGGUUUGACAUGUAAGUGGUAGUGAUCUGAAAAGUGAACGACCCUUCGGGGAGCUUACACAGGUGCUGCAUGGCUGUCGUCAGCUCGUGUCGUGAGAUGUUCGGUUAAGUCCGCUAACGAGCGCAACCCUCACUGUGUGUUACAAGUGUCACACGGGACUGCCGGUUUUAAGCCGGAGGAAGGCGAGGAUGACGUCAAGUCAGCAUGGCCUUUAUAUCUUGGGCUACACACACGCUACAAUGGUCUGUACAAUAGGUUGCCAAGCCGCGAGGCGGAGCCAAUCCUAAAAGCAGGCCUCAGUUCAGAUUGCAGGCUGCAACCCGCCUGCAUGAAGAUGGAGUUGCUAGUAACCGCAGGUCAGCUAUACUGCGGUGAAUACGUUCCCGGGUCUU
RNAcentral lists this ribosomal RNA (452 nucleotides) under uncultured bacterium. Its description in RNAcentral is "bacterial SSU rRNA". It matches the Rfam family "Bacterial small subunit ribosomal RNA", at positions 917 to 1382 of the family's 1533-position model. The record is from RNAcentral.